GAGUACGGUCGCAAGAUUAAAACUCAAAGGAAUUGACGGGGACCCGCACAAGCGGUGGAUGAUGUGGAUUAAUUCGAUGCAACGCGAAAAACCUUACCUACCCUUGACAUGGUCGGAAUCCUGCAGAGAUGCGGGAGUGCUCGAAAGAGAACCGGCACACAGGUGCUGCAUGGCUGUCGUCAGCUCGUGUCGUGAGAUGUUGGGUUAAGUCCCGCAACGAGCGCAACCCUUGUCAUUAGUUGCUACGAAAGGGCACUCUAAUGAGACUGCCGGUGACAAACCGGAGGAAGGUGGGGAUGACGUCAAGUCCUCAUGGCCCUUAUGGGUAGGGCUUCACACGUCAUACAAUGGUCGGUACAGAGGGCUGCCAACCCGCAAGGGGGAGCCAAUCCCUUAAAACCGAUCGUAGUCCGGAUUGAGGUCUGCAACUCGACCUCAUGAAGUCGGAAUCGCUAGUAAUCGCGGAUCAGCAUGUCGCGGUGAAUACGUUCCCGGGUCUUGUACACACCGCCCGUCACACCAUGGGAGCGGGUUUUACCAGAAGUAGCUAGCCUAACCGCAAGGAGGGCGGUUACCACGGUAGGAUUCGUGACUGGGGUG
RNAcentral lists this ribosomal RNA (600 nucleotides) under uncultured bacterium. RNAcentral describes it as "bacterial SSU rRNA". It matches the Rfam family "Bacterial small subunit ribosomal RNA", at positions 878 to 1482 of the family's 1533-position model. The record is from RNAcentral.